GAUGAACGCUGGCGGCGUGCUUAACACAUGCAAGUCGAACGGAAAGGCCCAAGCUUGCUUGGGUACUCGAGUGGCGAACGGGUGAGUAACACGUGGGUGAUCUGCCCUGCACUUCGGGAUAAGCCUGGGAAACUGGGUCUAAUACCGGAUAGGACCACGUCUUGGAUGUUGUGGUGGAAAGUUUUUUCGGUGUGGGAUGAGCUCGCGGCCUAUCAGCUUGUUGGUGGGGUAAUUGCCUACCAAGGCGUCGACGGGUAGCCGGCCUGAGAGGGUGUACGGCCACAUUGGGACUGAGAUACGGCCCAGACUCCUACGGGAGGCAGCAGUGGGGAAUAUUGCACAAUGGGCGCAAGCCUGAUGCAGCGACGCCGCGUGGGGGAUGACGGCCUUCGGGUUGUAAACUCCUUUCGCUAGGGACGAAGCGUUUUUGUGACGGUACCUGGAGAAGAAGCACCGGCUAACUACGUG
Molecule: ribosomal RNA, 468 nt
Filed under: uncultured bacterium
Lineage: Bacteria
Description: partial 16S ribosomal RNA
Rfam family: Bacterial small subunit ribosomal RNA
Source: RNAcentral